UCUGAAGAACCUUCUAUAAUAAGAUCUGAUAAGGUACAACCGCGACUAUCUCCGUUGGAUCGUGGACCAUGGAUGGAUCCAAAGGUGAACAAUGCAUGGAAUUUGUUGAGAGGAGCACGUAGAGCUUGUGAUGCAACGGGCCGGGUGCGGCUCAGGAUUACUCGUGCGUGGUGGUAUUAUCUGAAGAGCUUCCUUAAUUUGGGCACAGAGGGGAACUUUCUUAAUUAGGACAGGUAGAGAGAGUUCCGCUAUAAAUA
RNAcentral lists this long non-coding RNA (257 nucleotides) under Elaeis guineensis (African oil palm). RNAcentral describes it as "long non-coding RNA (EGUI_LNC000929)". The record is from RNAcentral. Lineage: Eukaryota; Viridiplantae; Streptophyta; Magnoliopsida; Arecales; Arecaceae.